UGAGGAAUAUUGGUCAAUGGACGCAAGUCUGAACCAGCCAAGUAGCGUGCAGGAUGACGGCCCUAUGGGUUGUAAACUGCUUUUAUAUGGGGAUAAAGUGGGGAACGUGUUCCCUUUUGCAGGUACCAUAUGAAUAAGGACCGGCUAAUUCCGUGCCAGCAGCCGCGGUAAUACGGAAGGUUCGGGCGUUAUCCGGAUUUAUUGGGUUUAAAGGGAGCGUAGGCCGUUUGGUAAGCGUGUUGUGAAAUGUAGGAGCUCAACUUCUAGAUUGCAGCGCGAACUGUCAGACUUGAGUGCGCACAACGUAGGCGGAAUUCAUGGUGUAGCUGUGAAAUGCUUAGAUAUCAUGAAGAACUCCGAUUGCGAAGGCAGCUUACGGGAGCGCAACUGACGCUGAAGCUCGAAGGUGCGGGUAUCGAACAGG
This 424-nucleotide ribosomal RNA is filed under the name Verrucomicrobiota bacterium. Its description in RNAcentral is "Verrucomicrobia bacterium partial 16S ribosomal RNA". It matches the Rfam family "Bacterial small subunit ribosomal RNA", at positions 355 to 776 of the family's 1533-position model. The record is from RNAcentral. Lineage: Bacteria; Pseudomonadati; Verrucomicrobiota.